AACAACUGCUCUCUUUUCAAGUGUUUGCCUCAAUUUGUUAUUGUUUUACAUUUGUUGAGUAAUUAGUCUGUUAAUAUUUGUUUCGUAUAUAAUUUCUUUGUUGGUAAACAUGACAUUACCAGUUCCGCGGCGGAUGGAUAUGGGCAGAAUUUCCCGUCGCAUAUCCACCCAACUUUAGUUAGAGAGGAAGGGCGGUAGCGAGAGCGACACCUGAUGUGAGCACCAAACAACAUUGAUUAGCUGUGAGGACCAUCCCAUAUAGCAUACCAGCAGCCAUACACAGAAACGAUCCAUACAAAAUGAACGUCAAGCAUUAAUUCAUAUCAGCUUGCAACAUCUGAGUUGUAUGUAACGACAGUAAAAUAUGUAUUACUAAUGGGCUAACGUGUCAGACUAGGGAUGGCUCCUGGAAUUCUAACUCAACAUCUUAAAUUUUAUUUGUGGCUGAAUAUCCAGCUAACUCAUUGGUUGUUAGGGUUAGGUCUAUUCUUACAGCUGUCCAGCCUCUUGGAAACCCAGACUUCGGGGACUGUGCCUUGGCUCAGUGGGGGCUGGUUCAGCUUAGAAUUAGAUGAGCCUGUUGGAUGUCACAGCCAUUAAUGAUUGCUGUUUUUUGCUGUAAGUCGCCAAAGUUAAACUUACACUAUAUGAUUCGCCAACUGUGUUUUAUUCUUAGGGUUGUGGUCUCCUUGGUUGAGUCCAGGUACUGCAAGAAUCACUACACACGAACCAUUACCCUACUAUUGUCUGCCCAGGUUUCCUGAGUACAGAUGACAUCGCUAUUUCGAAAAUAAUUACAAAACUCUACAUCACUAAACUUUGUACUAACGCUACCCUGGAUGUUCCAAGUUGAAAAAA
This is a long non-coding RNA of Branchiostoma belcheri (Belcher's lancelet), 858 nucleotides long. RefSeq lists it as uncharacterized. NCBI's taxonomy places the organism in Eukaryota, Metazoa, Chordata, Leptocardii, Amphioxiformes, Branchiostomatidae. The transcript has 2 exons. The record is from RefSeq and is a predicted model, not a curated record.